GAUGAACGCUGGCGGCGUGCUUAACACAUGCAAGUCGAACGGAAAGGCCCAAGCUUGCUUGGGUACUCGAGUGGCGAACGGGUGAGUAACACGUGGGUGAUCUGCCCUGCACUUCGGGAUAAGCCUGGGAAACUGGGUCUAAUACCGGAUAGGACCACUUCUUGGAUGUUGUGGGGGAAAGUUUUUUGGGGGUGGGGUGAGCUCGCGGCCUAUCAGCUUGUUGGUGGGGUAAUGGCCUAACAAGGCGUCGACGGGUAGCCGGGCCGAGAGGGGGUACGGGCACAUUGGGACUGAGAUACGGCCCAGACUCCUACGGGAGGCAGCAGGGGGGAAUAUUGCACAAUGGGCGCAAGCCUGAUGCAGCGACGCCGCGUGGGGGAUGACGGCCUUCGGGUUGUAAACUCCUUUCGCUAGGGACGAAGCGUUUUGUGACGGUACCUGGAGAAGAAGCACCGGCUAACUACGUG
This 467-nucleotide ribosomal RNA is filed under the name uncultured bacterium. RNAcentral's name for it is "partial 16S ribosomal RNA". It matches the Rfam family "Bacterial small subunit ribosomal RNA", at positions 28 to 507 of the family's 1533-position model. The record is from RNAcentral.